Molecule: ribosomal RNA, 253 nt
Filed under: uncultured bacterium
Lineage: Bacteria
Description: partial 16S ribosomal RNA
Rfam family: Bacterial small subunit ribosomal RNA
Source: RNAcentral
UACGAGGGGGGCAAGCGUUGUUCGGAUUUGUUGGGCGUAAAGGGUGCGUAGGCGGUUUGGCAAGUCUUAUGUGAAAUCUUUGGGCUCAACCCAAAGUCUGCAUAAGAAACUGCCGGGCUCGAGUAUGGGAGAGGUGAGCGGAAUUUCCGGUGUAGCGGUGAAAUGCGUAGAUAUCGGAAGGAACACCUGUGGCGAAAGCGGCUCACUGGACCAUUACUGACGCUGAGGCACGAAAGCUAGGGGAGCAAACAGG